AGUGUCAUGUGAUGAAACCUUAUCUAUCUUAGGACACCUUCUGACACAGUGCCUAUUUUCCUGUGGAUGAGAAGGCUUUUAUGUUCUGAUGAUACA
Molecule: small nucleolar RNA, 96 nt
Filed under: Triticum aestivum (bread wheat)
Lineage: Eukaryota; Viridiplantae; Streptophyta; Magnoliopsida; Poales; Poaceae
Also listed under: 1 other name
Description: Small nucleolar RNA snoR31/Z110/Z27
Rfam family: Small nucleolar RNA snoR31/Z110/Z27
About the family: This family contains several related snoRNAs including R31, Z27 and Z110. Family members belong to the C/D class of snoRNAs which contain the C (UGAUGA) and D (CUGA) box motifs.
Source: Rfam by way of RNAcentral